This 119-nucleotide ribosomal RNA is filed under the name Pteropus alecto (black flying fox). The record is from RNAcentral. Lineage: Eukaryota; Metazoa; Chordata; Mammalia; Chiroptera; Pteropodidae.
GUCUAUGGCCAUGCCACCCUGAACGCACCCAAUCUUAUCUGAUCUCAGAAGCUAAGCAAGGUCGGGCCUAGUUAGUACUGGGAUGGGAGAUCACCUAGGAAUACCAGGUGCUGUAGACG